Molecule: ribosomal RNA, 1345 nt
Filed under: uncultured bacterium
Lineage: Bacteria
Description: bacterial SSU rRNA
Rfam family: Bacterial small subunit ribosomal RNA
Source: RNAcentral
GGAUGAACGCUAGCGACAGGCCUAACACAUGCAAGUCGAGGGGCAGCACGGUGUAGCAAUACACGGGUGGCGACCGGCGCACGGGUGAGUAACGCGUAUGCAACCUGCCUACUACAAGGGGAUAACCCGUUGAAAGACGGACUAAUACCCUAUAACACAGGGAAUCCGCAUGGAUAUAUUUGUUAAAGAUUUAUCGGUAGUAGAUGGGCAUGCGUUCCAUUAGCUUGUUGGUGAGGUAACGGCUCACCAAGGCAACGAUGGAUAGGGGAACUGAGAGGUUGAUCCCCCACACUGGAACUGAGACACGGUCCAGACUCCUACGGGAGGCAGCAGUUGGGAAUCUUAGGCAAUGGGCGAAAGCCUGACCUAGCGACGCCGCGUGAGGGAAGAAGGCCUUCGGGUCGUAAACCUCUGUCAUGGGGGACGAAGGAAGUGACGGUACCCCAAGAGGAAGCCCCGGCUAACUACGUGCCAGCAGCCGCGGUAACACGUAGGGGGCAAGCGUUGUCCGGAUUUAUUGGGCGUAAAGAGCUCGUAGGUGGCUAAGUAAGUCGGGUGUCAAAUCCCCAGGCUCAACCUGGGUCUCCACCCGAUACUGCUUUGGCUAGAGUCCGGUAGGGGAGCGUGGAAUUCCUGGUGUAGCGGUGAAAUGCGCAGAUAUCAGGAGGAACACCAGCGGCGAAGGCGGCGCUCUGGGCCGGUACUGACACUGAGGAGCGAAAGCGUGGGUAGCAAACAGGAUUAGAUACCCUGGUAGUCCACGCCGUAAACGUUGGGCACUAGGUGUGGGGUCUAUUCAACGGACUCCGUGCCGUCGCUAACGCAUUAAGUGCCCCGCCUGGGGAGUACGGCCGCAAGGCUAAAACUCAAAGGAAUUGACGGGGGCCCGCACAAGCAGCGGAGCAUGUUGCUUAAUUCGAGGCAACGCGAAGAACCUUACCUGGGUUUGACAUGUAGAGAAAAGCCACAGAGAUGUGGUGUCCUUCGGGGUUCUACACAGGUGGUGCAUGGUUGUCGUCAGCUCGUGUCGUGAGAUGUUGGGUUAAGUCCCGCAACGAGCGCAACCCUUGUCCUAUGUUGCCAGCACGUAAUGGUGGGGACUCGUAGGAGACUGCCGGGGUCAACUCGGAGGAAGGUGGGGAUGACGUCAAAUCAUCAUGCCCCUUAUAUCCAGGGCUGCAAACAUGCUACAAUGGCCGGUACAAAGGGCUGCUAAACCGCGAGGUGGAGCGAAUCCCAUAAAGCCGGUCUCAGUUCGGAUUGGAGUCUGCAACUCGACUCCAUGAAGCUGGAGUUGCUAGUAAUCCCGGAUCAGCAACGCCGGGGUGAAUACGUUCCCGGGCCU